Non-coding RNA from Pantherophis guttatus, 3140 nucleotides. Lineage: Eukaryota; Metazoa; Chordata; Lepidosauria; Squamata; Colubridae. The record is from RefSeq and is a predicted model, not a curated record.
AAACUUUCGCCUCAGCUUCUACAAAGUCCCUCCUUCUCCACGUCAAGCCAAUGACACCGCUGCCCCCAACUUUCCGCCAGCAGGAGCUAUAAGAGCGUCCCAGGCUGCAACUUUUGCCCAACUCCCAGCCAGCUCCGAGGAGCCCUCGGGAGGGGAGCUGACAGCGCCAGAGAUUUUCCUUCGUCCGCUGCCUUUCUUUUCGGAUCUCCAUGGCCUCCAGCCUCCCAUCCAACUGAACGUUGCUGCCGACUUCAUCUGGACUCUCGCAAGCCAAGGAUCUAGCCGCGGGGACUGGCUGGCUAAGCAUCGCCCGCCCGCCCCCCUCGCCCUUUCUAAAGGGCUGCUCGGUGUGCCGCAGGUUGGCCCUAGAGAUGAUGCAGCAGCAGCAGGACGAGUCCAACUCUCCAGUCUCGCCCGCCGACGAAAGCUUGAGCAACAGUGAAGAGGAGCCCGAUCGCCAGCAGCAGCAGCAACAGCAGCAGCAGCAGCUUCAAGGCGCCGGCAAACGAGGGGGACGGAAGAGGCGCUCGAGCCGUAGGGCGGCUGCAGGAGGCGGCGGAGGAGGCCCCGGAGGCGGAGGCGGAGUGACCGGCGGGGGACUCGGCUCGGCAGAGGAGCCGUGUAGCCCGGCGCAAGGCAAAAGAGGCAAGAAGUCCGGCGGCGGCGGCGGCGGCGGAGGGGGCAGCAGCAGCGGCGGGGGCAGCCCUCAGUCUUACGAGGAGCUUCAAACGCAGCGGGUGAUGGCCAACGUCCGCGAGCGCCAGCGCACGCAGUCGCUGAACGAAGCCUUCGCGGCUCUACGCAAGAUCAUCCCGACGCUGCCGUCGGACAAGCUGAGCAAGAUCCAGACCCUCAAGCUGGCCGCCCGCUACAUCGACUUCCUCUACCAGGUUCUGCAGAGUGACGAGCUCGACUCCAAGAUGGCCAGCUGCAGCUAUGUGGCCCACGAGCGUCUCAGCUACGCCUUCUCCGUUUGGCGCAUGGAAGGCGCCUGGUCCAUGUCCGCCUCCCACUAGCGUCCUGUGCAGCCUGGCGUGCCCGGAGACUUUAGCCACCUACUCUGAGCUUCAUUUAGCUGAUUCCAGGAAAAUACACACAGGAUUGCUGAAUGAGACUCCGUGGGACAUUUCUCAGUAGCCACAGAAGCACUCUCCUUGAGGCUUACAGGAAAUAUCAGCAUGGGACAUUGACUGUUAACUCAGAAGAUGAUGCCAGAUGUUAAUUUUACAAGGAGAGCUGCCAGCAUUCAUGUCUACUGGAAAUCAUAGCAUCUGAAGAGAAAGCCCUUGUUCCCUUGUUCUUCAGAAAUGGUCUAAGCAUAAUCAGCGAUGAAGAAAAUACACUCUGGUUACACUCAGAGGAACUAUUUUCACAUAAUCCUGGCAACUGGUCAGGAACUAGAGUAAUUCUGGAAAACUCCCAUUUCAGAAAAAAUCCAGGACAAUGCUCAUACCGCUUAGCAGUCCAAUUUCUCAAUAGGGAAAAAUACUUGUAUAUUUGCAAAUACUGUUGUGUUACUAAUGCUUACAGCCAACAAAAUAUCAUUACACUUUUGUCAACCUAAUUAUACACAGUUAUCCAACUGACUUUGUUGUAGGGAAUGCCAAUGUUUUAGCCAACAGCACUAUGGCAGCUGAAUUAUGGAAAAACCUAGGACAAAUUUGGAUCUUGCAUAUUCCAAGAAUUUUCAAGAGAAAUUAAUUUCCUAAAGGAAAUCCCCUGCAGUGAUCAAACAUCAGAACAAUGAAAAUAAAAUUCUAGAAAUAAUUAAGGAAAAAAGAAAAGUCAAAGCAAAAUCAAUUAUUGAGGCACUAGCUUUAGAGACGAGGCCCUGUUCUCUUCUAUCACAGAAUAAUAAACUUUCCAAAACCUACUCCAGUUAGGUUUAGAAAAGGUAUGGAAAUCAGAAAGAGCAUUCCUUUAGUUUUCACCUUCUGAAUCACAUAAAACCUCAAGAAUCCAGCUACAGAUCUUGGGACAGGCUUUCCAAAAGUUACCAUGGACUAUUGUGCCAGUUGUGACCAUGGUUUCUCAAGCCAUUUCCAUUUUGGGCAGAAUGUGCUAUAAAGGAGGCAUUUUUUUCUGUGGUAUGAAAGAUUUAUACUUGUGUGGCAUUUUCUGUUAACUGCAACCAUUCAGGGGAAAUUUUGGAAUGGAAAGUCUUUUUUUUAAAUGGAAAAUCAAGAUUUCAGUUGAGCCUUAAAUAGACAAUUUGUUAGAACCAACAAUUUGGUGGGCGCCAACAUUUGUCAACUCAGUUCCAACUGUUUCUUCACAAAAUGGAGUUCCAUUUACUUGACUGAGCUAUUCUAAAAUAUUUGCACAGAAGCAAAGUCUUCCUACAAAAUAUAUCAGGAAUUACUCAGGAUAACUCGGUUGUGAAGCUGAUGAGAACUCUGGAGGAAGUAGAUUAUCUAAAUCCACUUCAGUGCCAGUUUGAUGCUUUCUCUCUUCCUGUUCAACAAUUGCAUGAAACUGCUGGGUGAGGUCAGCGUACUAGUUUGGAGUUCAGUACGUAUGCUGAUGAAAGCUAAUUAUAUCUUUUAUAAGAUAUAUCCCUGCUGCCCAGCAUUAUCCCUACUUGAACUGGUUUAUUUCAUUGCACGGUUAGCAGUGAACUCUUAGGGCUGAAAUUGAGUCUUUGGGAACUUUAACGUGUCACCAGGUGAUGUUGAGUAAGUGAGAUCAGGAAUUCAUGGAUUCUGGAUGGAUGGAUCUGUCCCAAAUGAUAAAAGGUCCCAUUUAUUCAGGAAGUCACAGACUAGAACUGAUUCUUAUCUUGGGGCAGUUGCAACAUGAUCUGCUUUUUGAAAACAUUACCAUCAAUCCAUUGCUAUGGAUAGCUCCAGCGGUGAAAUCCGGCUGGAUCUAUCCGGCUCACAUGAAACGGUAGCACCGGUGGCGGGAGGCUCCACCCACCCACCGGAACAUCAUUACGUCCCAUUUUUGACCCUCUCACAUGCACAGAAGGCUCUGCACAUGCACAGAAGAGGCGCACACACUCACAUUCGCGAACCGGUAGCAAAGGAUGUUCCACUCUUUAUUACGGUGGCUUGUACCUCAUCUCCAGGGCUCAAAUGAGAAAUAAUCAUGUGGCAGAUAAAGUUACUCAGAUUUUCUUGGAAUUGGACCAUGAUUGG